UCGUGUAACAGCUAUAUAAGCGGCUGCUCGUCCCUUUCAUCAUUGUAACAUAUUAGACGCUUGACUUGAGACGCUCUCCACCCGGCUUACUCCGUACUCUGCAAUGGCGUCAAACGUGUCGUCCGUGGUUUCUGCUGUGAUUGUCUUUCUCUUGGUGCUAUGUACGUUCACGUCCACUUACUCCUUGAACAGGGAGACGCGAGCAUAUGGUUUAAUGGAUGGCCAGUGCACCAAGACAACACCGUGCAAGUGGACCAUCUGUCCGUGGACAAUUAGUCCAAUAUCACAAGAAGCCGACUUUAUUUCUGAAUGCGAAACUGUUCAAAAUGAUUGCAAGUGUCCGCAAUCGACCCAAUGCAGGGUCUCUAUGCUUAUCGACCACGGCUUCUACACCAGCAAGAUUCAGUGGCUUUGCAUGUG
Long non-coding RNA from Lineus longissimus, 420 nucleotides. RefSeq lists it as uncharacterized. The transcript is spliced from 3 exons. The record is from RefSeq and is a predicted model, not a curated record. Lineage: Eukaryota; Metazoa; Nemertea; Pilidiophora; Heteronemertea; Lineidae.